GGGAAAUUUGCAUUUUGAUACUGUCUUGGACUAGAGUUCCUUGUAGAGGGGGGGGUAGAAAUUUCAUGGUGUAGCGGUGAAAUGCGUAGAGAUCUGAAGGAAAUAUCAGUGGCGAAAGGCGGCCCCCUGGCAACGAGACUGACGCUCAGAUGCGAAAAGCGUGGGGAGCAAACAGGGAUUAGAUACCCUGGUAGUUCCACGCCGUAAACGAUGUCUAUUAGGAGUCUGUGAUCCUUGAGUCGUGGGUUCCAAAGCUAACGCAUUAAAUAGACCGCCUGGGGAGUACGGCCGCAAGGUUAAAACUCAAAUGAAUUGACGGGGGCCCGCACAAGCGGUGGAGCAUGUGGUUUAAUUCGAUGCAACGCGAAGAACCUUACCUACCCUUGACAUCCAGAGAACUUACCAGAGAUGGUUUGGUGCCUUCGGGAACUCUGAGACAGGUGCUGCAUGGCUGUCGUCAGCUCGUGUUGUGAAAUGUUGGGUUAAGUCCCGCAACGAGCGCAACCCUUGUCCUAUGUUGCCAGCGCGUAAUGGCGGGAACUCAUGGGAGACUGCCGGUGAUAAACCGGAGGAAGGUGGGGACGACGUCAAGUCAUCAUGGCCCUUACGGGUAGGGCUACACACGUGCUACAAUGGUCAGUACAAAGGGUUGCCAACUCGCGAGAGUGAGCCAAUCCCAUAAAGCUGGUCGUAGUCCGGAUUGGAGUCUGCAACUCGACUCCAUGAAGUCGGAAUCGCUAGUAAUCGUGGAUCAGAAUGUCCACGGUGAAUACGUUCCCGGGCCUUGUACACACCGCCCGUCACACCAUGGGAGUGGGCUGCACACAAGAAGUAGGUGUAGUUAACCUCGGACGACG
RNAcentral lists this ribosomal RNA (857 nucleotides) under Ferrimonas balearica. Its description in RNAcentral is "bacterial SSU rRNA". It matches the Rfam family "Bacterial small subunit ribosomal RNA", at positions 613 to 1451 of the family's 1533-position model. Lineage: Bacteria; Pseudomonadati; Pseudomonadota; Gammaproteobacteria; Alteromonadales; Ferrimonadaceae. The record is from RNAcentral.